GUUCUACUUGAAUUAGAUAUUUAAGAAUAAAAAAUAAAGUAGUGAGCGCGAGAAAUAAACUAAUAUGAUACUCUGAUACCAUAGGACAUGCCUAAACAUCCCAUCACGAAAUAUGCAACGAGAUAUAACGUAACACAUCUGUUUAUUCAAUCAGGCUUAUCUUCUUCUGGACAUUCUCAGAAAUCUUGUUCAAUUUUUAUGACACACAAAUGCAUAUACAACAACUCCUUAUUCCUGAACAUGCCCAUAAAUCUUAUUGUAUGUCUUCUGAAAAUACAAAGACGGAUCAAUCUUCAUGUAAG
This 302-nucleotide unclassified non-coding RNA is filed under the name Hevea brasiliensis (rubber tree). The record is from RNAcentral. Lineage: Eukaryota; Viridiplantae; Streptophyta; Magnoliopsida; Malpighiales; Euphorbiaceae.